RNAcentral lists this ribosomal RNA (543 nucleotides) under bacterium 4878K2-B25. Its description in RNAcentral is "bacterial SSU rRNA". It matches the Rfam family "Bacterial small subunit ribosomal RNA", at positions 75 to 610 of the family's 1533-position model. The record is from RNAcentral.
AUAGCUUGCUAUCAAUGCUGACGAGCGGCGGACGGGUGAGUAAUGCCUGGGAAUAUGCCCUGAUGUGGGGGAUAACUAUUGGAAACGAUAGCUAAUACCGCAUAAUCUCUUCGGAGCAAAGAGGGGGACCUUCGGGCCUCUCGCGUCAGGAUUAGCCCAGGUGGGAUUAGCUUGUUGGUGGGGUAAUGGCUCACCAAGGCAACGAUCCCUAGCUGGUCUGAGAGGAUGAUCAGCCACACUGGAACUGAGACACGGUCCAGACUCCUACGGGAGGCAGCAGUGGGGAAUAUUGCACAAUGGGGGAAACCCUGAUGCAGCCAUGCCGCGUGUAUGAAGAAGGCCUUCGGGUUGUAAAGUACUUUCAGUUGUGAGGAAGGCGUUGAUGUUAAUAGCUUCAGCGUUUGACGUUAGCAACAGAAGAAGCACCGGCUAACUCCGUGCCAGCAGCCGCGGUAAUACGGAGGGUGCGAGCGUUAAUCGGAAUUACUGGGCGUAAAGCGCAUGCAGGUGGUCUGUUAAGCAAGAUGUGAAAGCCCGGGGCUC